Aethalodelphis obliquidens (Pacific white-sided dolphin) is the source of this 2149-nucleotide long non-coding RNA. RefSeq lists it as uncharacterized. The record is from RefSeq and is a predicted model, not a curated record. The transcript is spliced from 3 exons. Lineage: Eukaryota; Metazoa; Chordata; Mammalia; Artiodactyla; Delphinidae.
CACCGAUGGUGGAAACCGGGGUGAGCCGUGUUUAGUUAGGGGAAUGGCACCCUUUGUAGGCGUGGGUAGCCAUUCCUGUUUGGGGCAGAAGCCCGACAGUUGAAGUUAACGGUUCUCAUCUUUACCUUGGGCAACAUUUCCCUUCCCGGUCGUUUUCAUUUCCGAAGUCGGAGAAGGAAAGCCCCAGAAUCCAUCAGGUUGCUGAGGUUUAACGCCUUCGUCGCCGAAUUGGCUAAAGGACGUUUCCGUUUAUGACGUAAACUCAAAGUUGGGAAGGGGUAUUUUGCAGAAGAAACUAUAUUUUAACAGCCAUCCUGCGUCUCAAAGUGGUGAGAAUGGGGGCUUGUGAAAGGAACGAAAGGGUAGCGUCUAUCAUCGGGAAGUUUCUUGUCUGGUAGAGGAGACAUUGUCCUUGCCCUUAGCGAACAGCAAGUAAGUUAAUCCGAUCACUCGCGAAAGGAGACAGAACCAUUCUCCAGAAGCUGUAGCUCCAAAGAAUUACCAAUUUAGUUCUGUGGUAUGGGUUUGAGAGCCUUGGGUGGCCCGCAGGGUGAGAGUGUGCGCCAUAGCAGAGCCGGAGAAGCAUUGAACCCGUUAGCCCAAGUGACCUCUCGAAUGCAGAUGCUUGAGCCAGGAGUUGGGGGAAGGGCGAAGAGGAAGGAAUAUUUUUAGUAAAGCUGGAGCUCAGAAAGGCGUUGAUUUUUAAAUAAUAGUGAGAGCGCCUUGAAAGAAGUUUUGGAAGAUGUAAGGCUAGAAGAGUCAUAAGAAAAGGCUGGGAAGUGGACAGCAGGCAUUGAGGAUUUAGCCUCGCUGGAAGAAAAGCCUUGAGAAGACCAAGGCUUGGCCCAGAGCUCAUGGGUGGAAUCCAGCCCAGCUCAGUCAUUAAGUUAGGAUCCUGGACCCCAGUUUCACCUGAGGGUAGGUAAGAUGGAGAUUUCCCCCUGGAGCUGAGCUAAGGAACAAAGCCGCAGAAGGUAAACAACUGAUUAAUGUGCUGAACAGAGGACGCUGAAGAAUUGAAGUUCCAGACCCUUGGACUUAAGCAUUUAAUUUCACACUAUUACUGUUAUUUUGCACUUACUGGAGUGUUCCUGAGGUUACUGUUGGAUGUUGUGGCUCCCCGACUAUUGGUGGCACAAGCUUCUUGGGAAUUCUGAGGAAUGCAGACCCACCACAGAUUCAGAGAUCCCAGGAAGAAUUUUUGGGGAAGAAUUCAAAAUUGGGUGUAUAUGGCCAAAAAGUUAACAGGGUUGAGAUCUAGACCCUGACUUGACAUUCUGGGCAAACACCCAGUAGGUCAGAGAAUUGGAUGGAGCUUCUGGGUGGGACUUCCAAGGAAGGUGCCAACUUGUAUGAUACUAUCAGAGUGGCAUGGAAGAAGUAAGACCAAGCUGCUUCCUACCCCAGCAGAAUACACGCUACUUUGUAGAUUACCAGGCCUUUGCCCAAGUUGAAUAGAAGCAGGGGUCACAGAGGCCACUGGUGGAAUGUACUGGAACAUUCCAGGCCCUUCUGCUGCAUAACAAUGCAACUCCUCGAGGCUUUGAGCCAUCAGGGUCUUCCAGGAAGAAUUGGAUACAAGGUCCUCACCCUCCACCAUGCAUAGCAAGAAAUCACCUGCUCUGAAAGGAGCAUUAUUCUAAGUGCUUCCAACUUACUAAGUGGGAGGAGUGUUAAUCCAGCCCUUUGGGACUUUUUCACUAAAUAGAGAGACUUGGCUGCCAAGGCCAUUUUGUUGAGCCAGAACCUUCUUGUGGAAUAGAUGUGCUGGGUACAGGAUAUCCACAGGAAAAGCCAGGAAUAGGCACCUGAUCAAUCAGGGCUGAAGAGUUGGAUGGGAUGUAACCAGGCUUCAUUUUUUUCAGUCAGAAACAGAUUUACAAUGAAGCUAAUGAAACUUAAGAGUCAGAUCCCCUCACUUACACAGAACCCUUCCAAGUCCUCCCUAAUUCUAUAAUUAUUUUACUAUUUAACUUAAAGAGGAACCCCCAAAUUAUAUAAGUAUUAGACCUCACAGAACCUGGAGCCUUCCCUACUUUUAGUCUGCAGGGCUUUUAUUUAUUUAUUUUUAUAGUGUUGCUUUAUUUAUUAUUUAUAUAUUUGGCUGCUCUGGGUCUUAGUUGUGGCACAUGGGAUCUUUUAGUUGUGG